AAGUCGUAACAAGGUUUCCGUAGGUGAACCUGCGGAAGGAUCAUUACAGAAUUUCCUGCCCUCUGGGUAGAAAUUCCACCCUUUGUGUACAUUAUCAUUGUUAAACUCUGAAUCAUGUCGUCUGAGUACUAUAUAAUAGUUAAAACUUUCAACAACGGAUCUCUUGGUUCUG
RNAcentral lists this unclassified non-coding RNA (172 nucleotides) under Phylloporus sp. RNAcentral describes it as "partial contains small subunit ribosomal RNA, internal transcribed spacer 1, and 5.8S ribosomal RNA". The stretch from base 1 to 46 matches the Rfam family "Eukaryotic small subunit ribosomal RNA", at positions 1786 to 1831 of the family's 1831-position model. The record is from RNAcentral. Lineage: Eukaryota; Fungi; Basidiomycota; Agaricomycetes; Boletales; Boletaceae.